CAUGCAGUCCCUGAGAGAAAGGGAGAAAAACAGACACACAGCAGAAGCCAUUUCAAUUCCUAACUGCUUUCUGCUUCCGAUUUCAGUUCACCCAUGCUUCUUACUUUGGGGCACCUUGAACAAGGCAUCUUUGCUCCUUCUGACCUGUUGCCAUGGAAAGAGUGGAUGACUCAGUCUGGAGUGGAACAUAAUGCCAUCUGUAAACACAAGACGGUGACAAGACUUGAAAGAAUUGUAUUUGUCUGUCUUUCUCGCCUUCUGCUGUGGAUGUGAGGUCUACACUUCUGGAGAUGCUUUCAUUUACAUAAGAGAAGAUUGACUUAUAGACUUCCUAUUGUGAGGAGAGCUGCUGGGAAAAUGAUGGUGGCAAAUGAUGGUCUCAAGGAGAGAGCUAAGCUAUGUGAGCCCGGAAGCACUUGAGAUUAUGAUGAAAAAUCCUCUGUCUAAAUUGCUGCAAAGCCGCAUCUUUUUCUUUUGUCGUGUUGCAGGCUUCAAAAUGCUUUUCCUCUGGAGUUCGGAAGCCGAGGUUCAUUCAAGCAGCUGCCUCUGAUCUGGUCUCUGCAAGUCUAGGUAGACUCAGGCAGAUAGCAAUUCAUUGUCAGUGUGGAGGGGUAGGAAGCUCUAAAGAAUUCACAUUCAUUUGGCAGCAAGAAUGCCUGUCUACUAUGCUCACAACCCUGGUCCAGAGCUACUGGCCUCCAAAGCUCCAUUGAGAGCUUCCCCCUAGGUUAUUUCCCCAACCAACACCCCAAUCUAUAGACUUGACCUAUUUCUUGAACAUCUGAUUUAGAGAACAUGGUGCCUUGGAAACUGCCAGGUCCCAUCCUCAUGUGAGACAUCACCCUCCCGCCCCCAUGGACCUUGUGAAGUUUAAAUGAGGAGGCUUUUAAGGGGGAGCUCUUUAGCCAACAAGGCAGCUUCAUGGGUCUCAGAUUGAGAGCAUAGCAGCCUGUGUCCAGGACUAGUUAUAUAAGAGAGGCUCCAAGAGAGCAUAGAACAUGGCUUUCUACAAAUAAAAAAGGCAAAAAGGCUACACUCACUAGUGCCACAGCUGGGAAGCAACUACGAGCAAUGAAUUUCUCAUGCUAACAAAUCCACGCUCCUCGGAAAACAGAUGCUGAGCCCUGGGACUGGCACUGGAUCUCCGCUGGCAGGACCUGCAAGGUUCAGAGAUGGAAGGGUAUCUAGAGACCAUUUGUUCAUAAACACAGCUGAGGGCCAGAAACCUGAGGUUAUGCCCUGCCUGGGCUGCACCGAUACACCCCUUCCACGCAGCGUUUCCACAAUGAAGAAACAAGACAUGCAAGGCUUCUGCAGCCCACGCUCUACAGAAAUAAUUAAACAGUUUUUUUUAACCUCCUGAACUUUUCAUUUAUUAUUGCCAUCCAUCACGUCUACCUUCUCAAAUCGCAGAAUCCCGAAACUGAGCUCUGGGGUCAAGGGUUUAUUGUUUAAUGGAGAUAGAACAUUUUGUAAAUUGCACGAAGUCACAAUGUUUAUAAUAGAAGCUUCUGGUGUACUGAAUCUUUUCCAUUUAACAAACAGUGAGCUCUGACAUGUGUUCUUCCUGCAGAGCACGAAAUGUGGGGUAAGUGCAGUCCUGGCAUGGACACGCUACCAAAUCUUUCCUGUAAACCAAGCGAUGUCCGCAGUCAGAUGAAAACAUUCCUUCCACCAAAUACCAGGAAACGCUAAAAGUAUCACCAUUCUUCUAAGGUCAUGCUAAAAUGAAGUUUUGGCUUUUAGAACACAGAGCAGGGCUGAAGGAGGCCAACAGCUUUGUCCAAUACACAUUUGUUGCUACAAGUCACCAGGGACAAUGUCCUGGUUCGAAUAUGAACACGCGUACGGAGAAUUUUCCCAGGACUGAACCUUCCAGUGAAAAGUGGUAAACUCUAAGGCUGUGUCAUGAAUUCCUGAGCCACAAUAAAUCUGUGACUGUCGGACUCUGUGUGUGGGUAAAAUGGAUAAUUUUCUGACCUUUGGUAAGCUUUCACUGGAGCAAAGGAAGUCCCUCCACAUAAUGUUUCCCCGCUACAAAAUACUGGCAGGAAGCCAAAG
Equus quagga is the source of this 2061-nucleotide long non-coding RNA. RefSeq lists it as uncharacterized. Lineage: Eukaryota; Metazoa; Chordata; Mammalia; Perissodactyla; Equidae. The transcript is spliced from 5 exons. The record is from RefSeq and is a predicted model, not a curated record.